CCUACGGGAGGCAGCAGUGGGGAAUAUUGGGCAAUGGGCGCAAGCCUGACCCAGCAACGCCGCGUGAAGGAAGAAGGCGUUCGGGUUGUAAACUUCUUUUCUGAGGGGCGCAGAAAGUGACGGUACCUCAGGAAUAAGCCACGUCUAACUACGUGCCAGCAGCCACGGGAAUCCGGCGGGGGCAAGCGUUAUCCGGAUUUAUUGGGUGUAAAGGGCGUGUAGGCGGGAAAGCAAGGCAGAUGUUAAAACUCAGGGGUCAAACCUGAGCGUGCAUUUGAAACUGUUUUUCUUGAGUGCUGGAGAGGCAUGCGGAAUUCGGAGUGUAGCGGUGAAAUGCGUAGAUAUACGGAAGAACACCAGUGGCGAAGGCAGAUUGCUGGACAGUAACUGACGCUGAGGCGCGAAAGCGUGGGGAGCAAACAGGAUUAGAUACCCCAGUAGUC
RNAcentral lists this ribosomal RNA (443 nucleotides) under uncultured bacterium. RNAcentral describes it as "partial 16S ribosomal RNA". It matches the Rfam family "Bacterial small subunit ribosomal RNA", at positions 338 to 795 of the family's 1533-position model. The record is from RNAcentral.